GCUCGGGGAGGCUCCCAAACCCCUGCAGGGAGGGAUCCACAGUUUUAAGACAGCCUUGGGUGUGGGGAUGCAGACCUGGUCAGCUGGAGGGGUUCUGCUCGGCCAGUAGGUACCACUUCCUGCUCCCACAUCAGCCGGAGCGUGGCGUGAAGGGCUGGUGGCGGCGAGGACACACCGGGGGAUUACCGCCUGCCUGGAGCAGCAGCCUCAGAGCGAGGAGCCAUUCCAGAAUGAUGAUCGGCAAGCUGCCUCCUGGAUUCCUCUACUCUGUGCAACCCAGGACCCACCCCAGCUUUCAGGCCGUCGUACUUGCACGUGGGGGAAAAGGGGGUCUCAGGUGAGCAGAAGCACCUUGGAAGACGGGCACAUUUUUCUUCCAAAUGUAAUUUUGAUAGAGAUAAAAUUUACUUUCAAAGAAAAUUUAAUUUUGACGAUAGAAGGAUGGCAAAAUGCCUGAAGACAGCCACAUAACGUAAGAGGAAAUUCAUGUGGCCACUAACUGUGGUCCUGGUCUGCCAUCUACACGUAGUGCCUUUGCUCUGCAGAGACCUGAUGCCUGAUGUGUGUAGCUGGUCUCUGGAGGGAACGUGCCCCGAAGUGAUUCCCAGAGGAGCCGAUAUCUCUUCCAGAAUAAACCACCAG
Molecule: long non-coding RNA, 642 nt
Filed under: Equus caballus (horse)
Lineage: Eukaryota; Metazoa; Chordata; Mammalia; Perissodactyla; Equidae
Description: lncRNA (ENSECAG00000055822.1)
Source: RNAcentral